Molecule: long non-coding RNA, 850 nt
Filed under: Neodiprion pinetum (white pine sawfly)
Lineage: Eukaryota; Metazoa; Arthropoda; Insecta; Hymenoptera; Diprionidae
Description: uncharacterized LOC124217620
Source: RNAcentral
UCGCGCAUCACCGUCGCGCAGCGUCGUGCACUCUUCCAUCCUUCAUUCUCGAGCUUUCUUGUUCUUUCGCACCGCGUUUCACAGGUCGUUAGAUACCACGGAUCUCUUGAGAAAAUUACAGAAACCCACGUGGCAAGAAAAGUGGAUAUUUGGAAAAGGUUGAGCAGCUGACAGUCAACUGUGUAUUCGAAAUAUACAACAUACGUUUUAGAAAAUGACACGUAAAAGAAAAAGUAACGACUGCUAUUCAGAUAGACAUAAACGUCGACUCGUUGAACAACAAACUAAAUUAAGUAUUAUUAGAAUGAAGCACGUUAAGCACGUAUAGUACGAAAUGUAAAGUCGUGAACCAAACGCUUUUUUUAAAAUAUACAUGAAAAUAAGUAUAGUUUUUUCUCGAUUUAAACUUAUUAUUAUAAUAUUAUAAUAAUUAAAUUAUUUUUAAAUCAAUAAUACAUAUGAAAAUAUAGGUUAUAAUAAUUAAGCUGAUACAGGGCAGUCUUUUGCUAUACACCAUAUUUACUAGUAUAGUAGUAACUAUACGUAGUAACAUGUACUACGUGUAUUACGUAACAUUUCUUCGUAAAUAUUGUGCAGAGCAAAAGACUGCCCUAUAUCAGCUUAAUUAUUAUAGCCUAUAUUUUCAUAUGCAUUAUUGUUUCCAAAAUAAUAUAAACAUAAUAAUAUAAUAAUAAGUUUAUAUUGAGAAAAAGACUAUACUUACUUUCACGUAUAUUUCGAAAGAAGCCUUUGGUUCACGACUUUACAUUUCGUACUACGCACUAGUAUAGUAUGUGUAGUAGGGUGGGCCAAAAAAAGUGAGUAUUUUUUUUUACUUUAUACUCUGAAA